Molecule: long non-coding RNA, 323 nt
Organism: Manis javanica (Malayan pangolin)
Lineage: Eukaryota; Metazoa; Chordata; Mammalia; Pholidota; Manidae
Source: RefSeq, a predicted model, not a curated record
UACCGGCUGGGCGGAGCUUUCCCGGCCAGAGUUUGGUGAGUCGGGGAGGCGUCGUGGGCGCCUCCGAGGCAGUGAGGCGGCAAAGAGGGUGAGGUGGAUUAGAGAAUUUACUUUUACAGCGCCCUCUACGGAGAACCGAGGGCUAGAACUGAAACAUGGGCGUGUGAGCCAGCUCAGAUCCUGCAGAUAAGAAUAUCCACAGGGAUGGAAGAGCAGCAAGACAGAAGGAACCUGGGCCCAGCUGGCUACAAGGAGCAGUGCUAGACAUCCCGACUCCUGUUGACUGUUAGGUGAAAAAGAAAUAAACCAGUUAAAGUACCUUA